CCUACGGGAGGCAGCAGUGAGGAAUAUUGGUCAAUGGGCGAGCGCCUGAACCAGCCAAGUCGCGUGAAGGAGGACGGCCCUAUGGGUUGUAAACUUCUUUUGUCAGGGAGCAAUUGGGGCUACGCGUAGGCUUAGCGAGAGUACCUGAAGAACAAGCAUCGGCUAACUCCGUGCCAGCAGCCGCGGUAAUACGGAGGAUGCGAGGGUUAUCCGGAUUUAUUGGGUUUAAAGGGUGCGUAGGCGGAAUAGCAAGUCAGCGGUAAAACGGCGGGGCGCAAACUCGUCGUGCCGUUGAAACUGACGUGCUUGAGUGGGAGAGAAGUAUGCGGAAUGCGUGGUGUAGCGGUGAAAUGCAUAGAUAUCACGCAGAACUCCGAUUGCGAAGGCAGCAUACCGGCGCCCAACUGACGCUGAAGCACGAAAGCGUGGGUAUCGAACAGGAUUAGAUACCCGAGUAGUC
RNAcentral lists this ribosomal RNA (460 nucleotides) under uncultured bacterium. RNAcentral describes it as "partial 16S ribosomal RNA". It matches the Rfam family "Bacterial small subunit ribosomal RNA", at positions 338 to 795 of the family's 1533-position model. The record is from RNAcentral.